UCUCCGUUGGUGGACCAGCGGAGGGAUCAUUACAGGACUCGCAAGACUCCUUCACCCUGUGAACCUCACUACGAGCACGUUGCUUCGGCGGGUGUCCCGGCGGGGGUUUUCCCUCGCCGGGGCGCACAGCCCGCCGGCAGCCUACUAUACUCUGUCUCUUUGCGUUGGCAUCUCGAGAAAAAACAAACAAGUUAAAACUUUCAACAACGGAUCUCUUGGUUCUG
This 224-nucleotide unclassified non-coding RNA is filed under the name plant metagenome. Its description in RNAcentral is "partial contains small subunit ribosomal RNA, internal transcribed spacer 1, and 5.8S ribosomal RNA". The record is from RNAcentral.